CAGGUGGUCCAGAAGACUUGGUGAAAUUGUGGAGCACAGCGGGGGAAAAGCCUUGGUUUCUUAACCACAGUGCGGAAGCUUAUUUACUGACACGGUACAAUGGAAGUCCAGGUUAUUUCAGAGUCAACUUCAUCAGUGAAUGAAAGAGAAAGAACAAAGGAGAGAGGGAAACACCUAAUGAAACCCUACUCCUCCAUUAUAACAUAUAUAAAUGUCACUUCCUAUGGGAAUAUUUUU
Molecule: long non-coding RNA, 237 nt
Organism: Lutra lutra (Eurasian river otter)
Lineage: Eukaryota; Metazoa; Chordata; Mammalia; Carnivora; Mustelidae
Exons: 3
Source: RefSeq, a predicted model, not a curated record